Molecule: ribosomal RNA, 331 nt
Filed under: uncultured eukaryote
Lineage: Eukaryota
Description: partial 18S ribosomal RNA
Rfam family: Eukaryotic small subunit ribosomal RNA
Source: RNAcentral
CCCUUAGAUGUUCUGGGCCGCACGCGUGCUACACUGACGAAGUCAGCGAGCAUGUCCUACGCCGACAGGUGCGGGGAAUCUUGUCAAACUUCGUCGUGAUGGGGAUUGAUUAUUGAAAUUCUUGAUCAUCAACGAGGAAUUCCUAGUAAGCGCAAGUCAGCAGCUUGCGUUGAUUACGUCCCUGCCCUUUGUACACACCGCCCGUCGCUACUACCGAUUGAAUGGUUUAGUGAGAUCUUCGGAUUGGCGCCACUGCGGCUCAGCAAUGGGCUCGGUGGAUGCCGAAAAGUUGAUCAAACUUGAUCAUUUAGAGGAAGUAAAAGUCGUAACA